UACGAAGGGGGCUAGCGUUGCUCGGAAUUACUGGGCGUAAAGCGCACGUAGGCGGCUUUCUAAGUCGGGGGUGAAUCCUGGAGCUCAACUCCAGAACUGCCUUCGAUACUGGAAAGCUCGAGUCCGGGAGAGGUGAGUGGAACUGCGAGUGUAGAGGUGAAAUUCGUAGAUAUUCGCAAGAACACCAGUGGCGAAGGCGGCUCACUGGCCCGGUACUGACGCUGAGGUGCGAAAGCGUGGGAGCAACAGG
Molecule: ribosomal RNA, 250 nt
Filed under: uncultured bacterium
Lineage: Bacteria
Description: partial 16S ribosomal RNA
Rfam family: Bacterial small subunit ribosomal RNA
Source: RNAcentral